GGCGCAUAUCAUGACAAAUUCCGCGCGAACGUCAGAUUAAUUCGGCUAGUAAUAAAAAGUAGUUACAUCUGGAAACAAUUAUUACAUCACGAACACUGACCAACAAACUCAUGAUCAUGCCGCGGAGCAGUUUGCGUACCACUUUUAGCAACUAUUGUUUGCGCGUUGUAAUUGCAGAGUAAUCAACGGAAAGAAAAGAUAUUGCUUCCUGAGAAUUGGCACACGGUGUAAUGGUAUCUCAUAAAGAAGCAACACACAUUGCAAACAACGGUUUCAACCUGGGGGUAAUUACGACCUAAUCUAAUAGAAUUGAUAGUCACUUGCUCCUCCUCUUCCUCUUUUUUGAACGGCCGUCAGGAAAAAAUGUCAAAAAACUUCGGAUCCGUACAACAUCUGCCAUCCGCUCUUGGAAGCGAACCGAUAAAUAUCAUACGAGGAUAUGGGAACAAGUCAGUGCGUGUGCAAACUAGGCAUCGCUUGUGAGAAAUUUCAAAUGAAAAACGAAUGAAAUUUGAUAUUUUCCCUCCCAUUUUCAACCACCGGAGAUAAUGCAUUUAAAAAUUAAGUUCACACCGUCCUAUACACAAAUGACAAUAUAAUAAACUAGUUUAUUCUUAUUCAAUUACA
This is a long non-coding RNA of Dalotia coriaria, 627 nucleotides long. RefSeq lists it as uncharacterized. The record is from RefSeq and is a predicted model, not a curated record. The transcript has 2 exons. NCBI's taxonomy places the organism in Eukaryota, Metazoa, Arthropoda, Insecta, Coleoptera, Staphylinidae.